AGACUGGGAUAACUCCGGGAAAACGGGGCUAAUACCGGAUGGUUGUUUGAACCGCAUGGUUCAAACAUAAAAGGUGGCUUCGGCUACCACUUACAGAUGGACCCGCGGCGCAUUAGCUAGUUGGUGAGGUAACGGCUCACCAAGGCAACGAUGCGUAGCCGACCUGAGAGGGUGAUCGGCCACACUGGGACUGAGACACGGCCCAGACUCCUACGGGAGGCAGCAGUAGGGAAUCUUCCGCAAUGGACGAAAGUCUGACGGAGCAACGCCGCGUGAGUGAUGAAGGUUUUCGGAUCGUAAAGCUCUGUUGUUAGGGAAGAACAAGUACCGUUCGAAUAGGGCGGUACCUUGACGGUACCUAACCAUUAUAGCCACGGCUAACUACGUGCCAGCAGCCGCGGUAAUACGUAGGUGGCAAGCGUUGUCCGGAAUUAUUGGGCGUAAAGGGCUCGCAGGCGGUUUCUUAAGUCUGAUGUGAAAGCCCCCGGCUCAACCGGGGAGGGUCAUUGGAAACUGGGGAACUUGAGUGCAGAAGAGGAGAGUGGAAUUCCACGUGUAGCGGUGAAAUGCGUAGAGAUGUGGGAGGAACACCAGUGGCGAAGGCGACUCUCUGGUCUGUAACUGACGCUGAGGAGCGAAAGCGUGGGGAGCGAACAGGAUUAGAUACCCUGGUAGUCCACGCCGUAAACGAUGAGUGCUA
RNAcentral lists this ribosomal RNA (700 nucleotides) under Bacillus subtilis. Its description in RNAcentral is "bacterial SSU rRNA". It matches the Rfam family "Bacterial small subunit ribosomal RNA", at positions 135 to 818 of the family's 1533-position model. Lineage: Bacteria; Bacillati; Bacillota; Bacilli; Caryophanales; Bacillaceae. The record is from RNAcentral.